This 253-nucleotide ribosomal RNA is filed under the name uncultured bacterium. RNAcentral's name for it is "partial 16S ribosomal RNA". It matches the Rfam family "Bacterial small subunit ribosomal RNA", at positions 524 to 776 of the family's 1533-position model. The record is from RNAcentral.
UACGUAGGGUGCGAGCGUUAAUCGGAAUUACUGGGCGUAAAGCGUGCGCAGGCGGUUGUGCAAGACAGAUGUGAAAUCCCCGGGCUCAACCUGGGAAUUGCAUUUGUGACUGUACGGCUAGAGUGUGUCAGAGGGGGGUAGAAUUCCACGUGUAGCAGUGAAAUGCGUAGAGAUGUGGAGGAAUACCGAUGGCGAAGGCAAUCCCCUGGGCCUGCACUGACGCUCAUGCACGAAAGCGUGGGGAGCAAACAGG